RNAcentral lists this ribosomal RNA (87 nucleotides) under Selaginella moellendorffii. The record is from RNAcentral. Lineage: Eukaryota; Viridiplantae; Streptophyta; Lycopodiopsida; Selaginellales; Selaginellaceae.
AGGUCUUGGGAUAUUUGGAUUAAGCGUCCUUGGGUUUGAAUAGUACUGGGCUGGGUGACCUCCUGGGAAGUCUAAACUUAGGAGCUU